This 497-nucleotide ribosomal RNA is filed under the name uncultured bacterium. RNAcentral's name for it is "partial 16S ribosomal RNA". It matches the Rfam family "Bacterial small subunit ribosomal RNA", at positions 28 to 507 of the family's 1533-position model. The record is from RNAcentral.
GAUGAACGCUGGCGGCGUGCCUAAUACAUGCCAGUCGAGCGAACGGACGAGAAGCUUGCUUCUCUGAUGUUAGCGGCGGACGGGUGAGUAACACGUGGAUAACCUACCUAUAAGACUGGGAUAACUUCGGGAAACCGGAGCUAAUACCGGAUAAUAUUUUGAACCGCAUGGUUCAAAAGUGAAAGACGGUCUUGCUGUCACUUAUAGAUGGAUCCGCGCUGCAUUAGCUAGUUGGUAAGGUAACGGCUUACCAAGGCAACGAUGCAUAGCCGACCUGAGAGGGUGAUCGGACACACUGGAACUGGGACACGGUCCAGACUCCUACGGGAGGAAGCAGUAGGGAAUCUUCCGCAAUGGGCGAAAGCCUGACGGAGCAACGCCGCGUGAGUGAUGAAGGUCUUCGGAUCGUAAAACUCUGUUAUUAGGGAAGAACAUAUGUGUAAGUAACUGUGCACAUCUUGACGGUACCUAAUCAGAAAGCCACGGCUAACUACGUG